UUUUUCCAGUUUUGUUUUGUUCGCUGCAGUCUUUAUGUUGACAAGCUUAUUUUUCUUCUUUAGAAUUUAAACUUCUUCACGUUUGGACGUAUUUGUUUGAGGUCAGCUGGCCUUGAUGUGUUUGACCUAGGUCUUAAUUUGCCUCUGGUUAGUUUGGGAGAUCAAGAAAACAGAACAAACGAGCCUUGUAGUGUUGCACCCAUACGAAAUAUACAAUGAGUGUUUAAGUUUAAAGCUAAUGACUACUAUUGUCCCAAGUUGAAGUCAUGGUCAAGUCUUUUCCAGUUCGUUUUCUUGUCCUUUGUGGCUCUUUUCUGAAUGUUCACAGGAUUAUGGAAUGGAGCUCUUCAAAUGAUUUGAUAUGAUGAAAAAGGGGAGGUUACUGAUGUGUUUGACCUAGGUCUUGAUUUGCCUCUGGUUAGUUUGGGAGAUCCAGAAAACAGAACAAAUGAGCCUUGUAGUGUUGCACCCAUACGAAAUAUACAAUGAGUGUUUAAGUUUAAAGCUAACGUCUACUAUUGUCCCAAGUUGAAGUCAUGGUCAAGUCUUUUCCUUCGUUUUCUUGUCCUUUGUGGCUCUUUUCUGAAUGUUCACAGGAUUAUGGAAUGGAGCUCUUCAAAUGAUUUGAUAUGAUGAAAAAGGGGAGGUUACUGAUAGCAAAGAUUGGAGCUCAAGCACAUCCUGUAAAAAGGAGAUUUUCAGGGCCAAUCUUGGAGUUCAGGCACACACUUGGCCAAUAAAAAGGAUGCCAAUCUCAAUCCCUUAAUGCCAUUAUCUGCUCUUCAGUGUCGCUGACUGGAAGACUGCCACGCACUGAAUAAGAGAAGGAGGACAAGUGCAAGUGAUAUAAAUACACAAUCAUUCAUUUUAUUGAAGCCAAAACUGGUCGGCCACAAUUUUAGGCAAUAUUAGGUUGGUCCUAAUUGAAUUUGACAUAUUGUUUUCUGAAAUUUCAGUAAUCGUGUAACAGUUUACAUCAUGUUUUUAUUGCAAAACUCUUUUUCCAUUACUUUCUACCCUUGUUCGACACUUUUCAAAAGAACUUUAGCCAGCGAAUAUCAAUCCUGGUUGUGGCAUACCAGUAGAAGCGAUCAAGUCAUUGAAGGUUGCCAGCAACUCUCCACAUUUUCUGCAACUUGCCAUUGUUGCUUCGCAAGGAGAGGCAAAUGAUCUAGGAGGAUCUGACACUUUGAUGGAUUUGAAUGAAAUGGU
Molecule: long non-coding RNA, 1212 nt
Organism: Cryptomeria japonica (Japanese cedar)
Lineage: Eukaryota; Viridiplantae; Streptophyta; Pinopsida; Cupressales; Cupressaceae
Exons: 3
Source: RefSeq, a predicted model, not a curated record